GGGGAUAUAGUUCAGUUGGUAGAGUGCUUGUCUGUCAUGCACAAGGUCCUGGGUUCAAUCCUCAGCACCGCCA
RNAcentral lists this transfer RNA (73 nucleotides) under Ictidomys tridecemlineatus (thirteen-lined ground squirrel). RNAcentral describes it as "Spermophilus tridecemlineatus (thirteen-lined ground squirrel) tRNA". It matches the Rfam family "tRNA". From Rfam's summary of the family: Transfer RNA (tRNA) molecules are approximately 80 nucleotides in length. Their secondary structure includes four short double-helical elements and three loops (D, anti-codon, and T loops). The record is from Rfam by way of RNAcentral. Lineage: Eukaryota; Metazoa; Chordata; Mammalia; Rodentia; Sciuridae.